This 749-nucleotide long non-coding RNA is filed under the name Triticum aestivum (bread wheat). Its description in RNAcentral is "long non-coding RNA (TAES_LNC018767)". The record is from RNAcentral. Lineage: Eukaryota; Viridiplantae; Streptophyta; Magnoliopsida; Poales; Poaceae.
GUGUGUAUAACUUCAGAUUAUACAUUUCGGUACUCCAAUUUGAAAAGUUAAGCACUUGCCAAUUAUAUGCGAUGUUUCAAGCAGAAGUGAGAUGAGAGACAAAGAGAAAGUUUGAUAUAAUUAUUACUCCUAAGUUCAUAAUUUUUUUAUCAAUACCUUAAAUUUGAUGUGAAGCUUGUAUUAUUAUUGUCAGAUCUAAAUUAAAUCAAAGACUUCAACACGGGAUGUUGCCUCUUUCACCUUAUUGUCAUUCUUAACGAUCUGUCGUGAGUAAAUCAUAGUGCAGAUGCGUCUUAUAUUUUGUUUGGGCCUGUAGGUGUGUGCUUCCUUGAUUUUCCAUUUCUUAUACGUUGUCGUCGUUUUGUUGCUUAAUUUUUAAGUUUGGAUUUUGUCUUCAACCCGCAGGUCCAGUUACGUGUGAGCAAGAACACAAUAGGUGGAAAGGUUUUCCUUCGAUCUUCAACUCCCAGCCACUCUAAUAUUUCCAUGUGGAAUGUUCAGCAAAAUGCCUUACAAACGAAUACCCUAGAGAAAUUGUUGUUGUUGUGUUUUGACUUUUGAGUGAUACCUCUAGCUGUGAUAGAAAUGUAUUUAGAAUACAUUGACUGUCAUAAAUGUAUUUAGAAUACAUUGAAGUGCAAAUCCAUGUCAUGGUCAUGAUAUGGGAGGAGAAAUUGGGCAAAUAUCCCAUAUGAGCUUUAUCUUGUACACAUCUUUUUUUCUAUGCCCUUGAUAGUAGGUUGUCUCUG